Oryzias javanicus (javanese ricefish) is the source of this 1731-nucleotide long non-coding RNA. The record is from Ensembl. NCBI's taxonomy places the organism in Eukaryota, Metazoa, Chordata, Actinopteri, Beloniformes, Adrianichthyidae.
AGGGAUAUGAGUUAUUAUGUGUUAUUAUGAGUUAUUAUGAGUUAUUAUGUGUUAUUAUGAGUUAUUAUGAGUUAUUAUGUGUUAUUAUGAGUUAUUAUGUGUUAUUAUGAGUUAUUAUGUGUUAUUAUGUGUUAUUAUGUGUUAUUAUGAGUUAUUAUGUGUUAUUAUGUGUUAUUAUGUGUUAUUAUGAGUUAUUAUGAGUUAUUAUGUGUUAUUAAGUGUUAUUAUGAGUUAUUAUGUGUUAUUAUGAGUUAUUACCCGGACAUCGUUUUUCACCCGCGCCGGAGAUACCAGCACCGUGGAUCCCGCCGAAACUUCCAGCUCAACCACUCCAAGAACAUUACUUCAUUCUGGUCCACGACCCGCCGCCGCCCCCGGAGCACCGGUCGGGUUGCUAACCGCAGCGUGCUAGCCGGCCUCGCCAGGUCGGUCUGCCCCGCUGCUUCGUGCAGCUCAACCGUCGUCAGCUUUGGCCUGCUCAACGUCCGGUCUCUCACAGACAAAGGACACAUCCUCCACGACCUUCUCUCUGACAACAAUCUGGAUUUUCUGUUCCUGACAGAAACCUGGCAACUCCCCAGUGACUUUUCCCAUCUUAACGCCUGUACUCCCGGUGGGUUUGUUUACCAUUCAAAAUCUCGCGGCUCUCGGGGGGGAGGUCUCGCGAUAAUUCACCGCGUGAAGUGGAAAGUCCUGCCUGUUUCUCUCCCUCCGUUCUCAUCAAUGGAAUGCACCGUGACCCAACUACCUGGAUCCAUUCCUACCAUCAUUGCCCUAAUCUAUCGCCCCCCAAAGCCUAAUUCUAACUUUCUGCCUGAGUUCUCCUCACUCCUCACUGUCGUCUCAGCUCUGUCACCCAACGUGAUCCUGCUGGGGGACUUUAAUAUUCGCAUGGACAUUACCAACCUCCCCCUUACUAGAGAUUUUUCAUUACUUCUUGACAGUUUUGGUUUUCUCCAGCAUUCCAACUUCCCCACCCAUAUAAAAGGCCACACCCUGGACUUAAUCUGCUGCUCUGGCCUGACACCCUCCAACUGUUCGGCCAUCGACCUCAGUAUCUCUGAUCAUUUCCUAGUUUCUUUCACUGCUGCCCUCCCAAUCUCCCCUGUUAAACUUCCCCGUCUCAUCCAUUUCCGCAAUAUAAAAAACAUUGACAUCUCCAGCCUCUCUUCCAGCAUCUCCAACCUUGACCCCCUCGACUGCUCAUCUCCUCCUGAUCUUCUGGCAGAGCACUAUCAUACUACCCUUCAUAACCUACUCAAUGCCACUGCCCCCCUCAAGACAAGAUCAGUUCUCUUUUCCAAAUCCAAAUCAAAGCUCACGGUCGUCGGCUCGAGCGCCUCUACAGGAAGACCGGUCUGGCUGUCCACCUUGAUCUUUACAAGGCUCAUCUUUCCAACUACAAAGACCGUAUCAUGCAGUCAAAAUCUGCAUACUACUCCGAAUUAAUUAAUACAAAUAAAGACAACUCCAAGUUCUUAUUCAACCUGUUUAACAAAACCUUCUCACCACCUAACUCACUGCCCCCCCACCUUCUGUCCACGACCACCUGUGAGGCCUUGGCCUCAUUUUUUGACCAGAAAAUUGUUAAAAUUUAUCAGAUGAUUCUCAUCCCCCCCCCAAAACUGAACUCAUUCCUCACCCUCCGCCCCUGGCCUUUUUCCAACUACCCAGCACUUCUGCAUCUCAAAACUCAUCCAGAAUUCAAAACCACUACAUGUUCACUUGAUC